RNAcentral lists this ribosomal RNA (474 nucleotides) under uncultured bacterium. Its description in RNAcentral is "partial 16S ribosomal RNA". It matches the Rfam family "Bacterial small subunit ribosomal RNA", at positions 28 to 507 of the family's 1533-position model. The record is from RNAcentral.
GAUGAACGCUAGCGGCAGGCCUAACACAUGCAAGUCGAGGGAGGAGCCUUCGGGCUUCGACCGGCGUACGGGUGCGUAACGCGUAUACAAUCUGCCUUUCACAUAGGGAUAGCCCGAAGAAAUUUGGAUUAAUACCUAAUGGUAUAUAGAUGUGGCAUCACCUUUAUAUUAAAGCUGAGGCGGUGAAAGAUGAGUAUGCGUUCUAUUAGCUAGUUGGAGAGGUAACGGCUCCCCAAGGCGACGAUAGAUAGGGGUUCUGAGAGGGAUAUCCCCCACACUGGUACUGAGAUACGGACCAGACUCCUACGGGAGGCAGCAGUGAGGAAUAUUGGACAAUGGUCGGAAGACUGAUCCAGCCAUGCCGCGUGCAGGAAGACGGCCUUAUGGGUGGUAAACUGCUUUUGCAGGGGAAGAAUAAGGACUACGCGUAGUUUGAUGACGGUACUCUGCGAAUAAGCAUCGGCUAACUCCGUG